UAUUUUUGUGCCCUCCUUUGAACUUGGGAUUGCUCACUCCUCUUUUCUCCAGCCCACCGCUUUCUCUGCACACCGACUCCUGGUCCGGAGAGAAGCAGAGUCAGAGGGACAGAUGCUGGGGGAGCUGGUGUGGAAGAGGAGUCUCAAUAGUCAAGCUUGACCCAGGCCAACGCACUGUUGCAACAUCGUUCCAUCUGACUUCCUGAGACUCUGUUACGUACAUUUCCUAUGGAGAGUGACAAGGUAAAUCUUUGGAAUGCAGGAGAGAGAUCUGGAUUUUACUGAAACACCUAUCAGA
Molecule: long non-coding RNA, 298 nt
Filed under: Fukomys damarensis (Damara mole-rat)
Lineage: Eukaryota; Metazoa; Chordata; Mammalia; Rodentia; Bathyergidae
Description: lncRNA (ENSFDAG00000031673.1)
Source: RNAcentral